AAAACGACUAAGCAUCUUGCUUCUUAUGUUUAUUAUGCUGCACCGCGGUAAAACGAAGAGUACCUUAAAGACAUGCUUUGCCCUCAAAAGAAGAAAGAUGCACUGUCCUUACCCUCAUCAGUGUGAGAGUGGACUUAAGUUCACACGAGUACGAACACCUUGACAACAAGACAACAGCCAGAGGUCCCCCCGUAUAUGACACAGCACACGUGACUUCAGUAUGAUGCACAACUCCUUCUAGUGGCUUGCCUGGUGGAUGAGCAGUCGUAUACGGUGGCCCGGGACGGUGACAUCGAAGCUGAAGUGUCGACGAACCAAG
This 319-nucleotide ribosomal RNA is filed under the name Triticum aestivum (bread wheat). RNAcentral's name for it is "partial small subunit ribosomal RNA". The record is from RNAcentral. Lineage: Eukaryota; Viridiplantae; Streptophyta; Magnoliopsida; Poales; Poaceae.